Molecule: long non-coding RNA, 874 nt
Filed under: Calidris pugnax (ruff)
Lineage: Eukaryota; Metazoa; Chordata; Aves; Charadriiformes; Scolopacidae
Description: lncRNA (ENSCPUG00000004770.1)
Source: RNAcentral
AGAAUUUUUUGAAAAAUUGUAAAGUGCAAAAUCCAGUUUCAGGCUUUGGAAAGGUAUGUUGCUGCAUUCUGGUUCAAUGCCUGAAACCAUUUUGCAACCCUGCUUUCCCAGCAGUUGGGAAGGUGCUGAUUCCCGGACUGCAGAGACGUGAAACUGUGCUUUUCCAGGGAGCAGAUGUGGUAUCCACAAAGAGACCAACCACAUCCCAUGAAGCAAGAGGAGUGCAGAACACCUCUUUGCGCCAAAAGUGCAGUCUGGAAAUGCUACAAAAGCUCAAAAACACACAGAAGAUACUGGCGGAAUAUCAUCGCUGAUUUCCUACAAGAAAGCAUUGUGAGCUGUCACUAAAAGAGUUUGUGGACUAAGUUACUGUGCCACUGCUAUCAAAUAAGGGGUGUGGUGUCAACACCGUAUUUUGGAACUGGACUGAGGUAUACACCCACUUGACCAUCUAAAUCAAGUACCCUCAUGAGGUAAAGCUUCUAGAUGAUUGCUGUUGUAAACUCUCGAAAUAUUAUCUGUUUUUACACGGAAUCUUGACUUGAAGGUAGGUGUAGAUCAUAUCCCUGUUAUCAUCCUUUUACAUGCACAGGUGGGAUGUGCUUUGGUGCUCUGAGAAUAAGCCCAGAGGAACACGUCACAGCCUUUCAGUGUACUGCAGGUCAUCACCUCUGUCAGCAAGUGCUGACCCAGUGAAGGCUGCAGAUUUUCCAGAGCCUAGAGAAUUCUUUGCCGUUUUGUAAAUGGUGUCCUAAAAACCACGACACACAAGUAACUCUUUCCCCCAGCCUCAAAAAAUGUAGAUGGAUAGUAUAAAUCAGUUUUAUCUGAACACUUCAGGCUAUAAAAUAAACGCUUUAAAUUAAGAAUUGCA